Molecule: unclassified non-coding RNA, 348 nt
Filed under: soil metagenome
Description: partial contains 5.8S ribosomal RNA, internal transcribed spacer 2, and large subunit ribosomal RNA
Rfam family: 5.8S ribosomal RNA (bases 1-120)
Source: RNAcentral
GAUGAAGAACGUACCAAAAUGCGAUAAGUAAUGUGAAUUGCAGAAUUCAGUGAAUCAUCGAAUCUUUGAACGCACAUUGCGCCCGCUGGUAUUCCGGCGGGCAUGCCUGUUCGAGCGUCAUUUCAACCCUCAAGCCCCCGGGUUUGGUGUUGGGGAUCGGCUCUGCCCUUCUGGGCGGUGCCGCCCCCGAAAUACAUUGGCGGUCUCGCUGCAGCCUCCAUUGCGUAGUAGCUAACACCUCGCAACUGGAACGCGGCGCGGCCAUGCCGUAAAACCCCAACUUCUGAAUGUUGACCUCGGAUCAGGUAGGAAUACCCGCUGAACUUAAGCAUAUCAAUAAGCGGAGGA